This 440-nucleotide ribosomal RNA is filed under the name uncultured bacterium. RNAcentral's name for it is "partial 16S ribosomal RNA". It matches the Rfam family "Bacterial small subunit ribosomal RNA", at positions 338 to 795 of the family's 1533-position model. The record is from RNAcentral.
CCUACGGGUGGCAGCAGUAGGGAAUAUUGCUCAAUGGGGGAAACCCUGAAGCAGCAACGCCGCGUGGAGGAUGAAGGUUUUAGGAGUGUAAACUCCUUUUGUUAGAGAAGAUUAUGACGGUAUCUAACGAAUAAGCACCGGCUAACUCCGUGCCAGCAGCCGCGGUAAUACGGAGGGUGCAAGCGGUACUCGGAAUCACUGGGCGUAAAGAGUGCGUAGGCGGGGUAAUAAGUCAGAUGUGAAAACCUGUAGCUUAACUACAGAACUGCAUUUGAAACUGUUACUCUGGAGUGUGGGAGAGGUAGGUGGAAUUCUUGGUGUAGGGGUAAAAUGCGUAGAGAUCAAGAGGAAUACUCAUUGCGAAGGCGACCUGCUGGAACAUUACUGACGCUGAUGCACGAAAGCGUGGGGAGCAAACAGGAUUAGAUACCCCUGUAGUC